GGCCCAGAACCAGGUGUGGCUGGGCAGUUGGUGUCACCCUCCCAGCAGGGCUGUUGUGCAGGGGGUGGGAGCUCAGUGUGCUCUGCUUGUUCACCUGGAGCUGUUUGUCCCUGCAGUGACAUCCACAGCUGCCAGCACGGCCUCCACCACCAGCACCACCUCAGUGCUGGGCUCCACGGGGCCCUCCUUGUUUGCAUCUGUGGCAACUUCUUCAGCCCCAGCCUCCUCCAGCACCACGGGCCUCUCACUGGGUGCCACCUCCACUGGUUCCACUGGGACAGCCACUCUGGGGACACUUGGCUUUGGAUUGAAGGUUCCUGGAACCACAGCUGCCACCACAAGCACUGCCACUGGGACAACUUCUGCUUCUGGCUUCCCUUUGAACCUGAAGCCACUGACCACCACAGGUGCCAUUGGAGCUGUGACCUCCACAGCUGCCACAACCACAGCCACCACAGCCAGUGCCCCCCCAGUGAUGACUUAUGCCCAGCUGGAGAGUUUGAUCAACAAGUGGAGCCUGGAGCUGGAGGACCAAGAGAAGCACUUCCUGCACCAGGCCACACAAGUCAAUGCCUGGGACCGCAUGCUGAUCGAGAACGGGGAGAAGGUGAGGAGGCCUCCAGAGCAACCUCAUUCUGCUGGCUUGGCUCCUGCAUGGCCCUGUUACAG
RNAcentral lists this long non-coding RNA (669 nucleotides) under Junco hyemalis (dark-eyed junco). RNAcentral's name for it is "lncRNA (ENSJHYG00000002520.1)". The record is from RNAcentral. Lineage: Eukaryota; Metazoa; Chordata; Aves; Passeriformes; Passerellidae.